AGUUUGCCAUGAUGAAAUGCAUGUUAAGUCCGUGUUUCAGCUGAUCAGCCUGAUUAAACGCAUGCUCUGAGCAGACU
Molecule: small nucleolar RNA, 77 nt
Organism: Cercocebus atys (sooty mangabey)
Lineage: Eukaryota; Metazoa; Chordata; Mammalia; Primates; Cercopithecidae
Gene: SNORD126
Product: small nucleolar RNA, C/D box 126
Source: Ensembl